RNAcentral lists this ribosomal RNA (492 nucleotides) under uncultured bacterium. RNAcentral describes it as "partial 16S ribosomal RNA". It matches the Rfam family "Bacterial small subunit ribosomal RNA", at positions 29 to 507 of the family's 1533-position model. The record is from RNAcentral.
AUUGAACGCUGGCGGCAUGCUUUACACAUGCAAGUCGAACGGUAACAGGCCUUCGGGUGCUGACGUGUGGCGAACGGGUGAGUAAUGCAUCGGAACGUACCCAGAGGUGGGGGAUAACGCAGCGAAAGCUGUGCUAAUACCGCAUGUGAUCUGAGGAUGAAAGCGGGGGACCGAGCAGCAAUGUUUGGCCUCGCGCCUUCGGAGCGGCCGAUGUCGGAUUAGCUAGUUGGUGGGGUAAAGGCCUACCAAGGCGACGAUCCGUAGCUGGUCUGAGAGGACGACCAGCCACACUGGGACUGAGACACGGCCCAGACUCCUACGGGAGGCAGCAAUGGGGAAUUUUGGACAAUGGGCGCAAGCCUGAUCCAGCAAUGCCGCGUGCGGGAAGAAGGCCUUCGGGUUGUAAACCGCUUUUGGCAGGAACGAAACGGUGUCCGCUAAUACCGGGCGCUAAUGACGGUACCUGCAGAAUAAGCACCGGCUAACUACGUG